CUAUUUAUAGCAUAUCCUUACAUAGUAGGAUUUAUUGUCCACUACCAUUCACUCACCAUAGGACUUAGAAAAUUCACACUAACAUGCUUAUAAAUUCCCACUAGCCUCUAUAAUGACUUAGUGCACCACUAGGAAGCAUCUAGAGAGCCUAGUGAGCAACUAAAGGUCAUCUAAAAACCCUCCUAAUACCAAAAACGAAAAUUACAAUAUAAAUAAAGAAAAUUGGACUUAAUUGUUUU
This 239-nucleotide long non-coding RNA is filed under the name Trifolium pratense (red clover). Its description in RNAcentral is "long non-coding RNA (TPRA_LNC007848)". The record is from RNAcentral. Lineage: Eukaryota; Viridiplantae; Streptophyta; Magnoliopsida; Fabales; Fabaceae.